RNAcentral lists this ribosomal RNA (433 nucleotides) under uncultured Hyphomicrobium sp. RNAcentral describes it as "bacterial SSU rRNA". It matches the Rfam family "Bacterial small subunit ribosomal RNA", at positions 29 to 507 of the family's 1533-position model. Lineage: Bacteria; Pseudomonadati; Pseudomonadota; Alphaproteobacteria; Hyphomicrobiales; Hyphomicrobiaceae. The record is from RNAcentral.
AACGAACGCUGGCGGCAGGCCUAACACAUGCAAGUCGAACGCUGCAGCAAUGCAGAGUGGCAGACGGGUGAGUAACGCGUGGGAAUCUUCCUAUCGGUACGGAAUAGCUCAGGGAAACUUGGGGUAAUACCGCAUACGCCCUUCGGGGGAAAGAUUUAUCGCCGAUAGAUGAGCCCGCGUCUGAUUAGCUAGUUGGUGAGGUAAUGGCUCACCAAGGCGACGAUCAGUAGCUGGUCUGAGAGGAUGACCAGCCACACUGGGACUGAGACACGGCCCAGACUCCUACGGGAGGCAGCAGUGGGGAAUAUUGGACAAUGGGCGCAAGCCUGAUCCAGCCAUGCCGCGUGAGUGACGAAGGUCUUCGGAUUGUAAAGCUCUUUUGGCGGGGACGAUAAUGACGGUACCCGCAGAAUAAGCCCCGGCUAACUUCGUG